This 254-nucleotide long non-coding RNA is filed under the name Monodelphis domestica (gray short-tailed opossum). RNAcentral describes it as "lncRNA (ENSMODG00000046727.1)". Lineage: Eukaryota; Metazoa; Chordata; Mammalia; Didelphimorphia; Didelphidae. The record is from RNAcentral.
UAAAUUGCAUAAUGAAGGACUUGAUAGAGGAAGAGCUCUACAUGGGUCAGGGUCUUCUUUGACACCGGCAAAAUCAAGAGUUUUGCAGACCAACUGAGACUGCAGUUGGUAUUUGCCACCUCUGACCAAGAGAACUGAGAGGAUCAAUGAGGACAGUGUCUCAGCUACAGGGCUGAUUUCCUCCUAAGCAAGCUUCUCCUCAGGCUUGUCUUCUCAUUGGAUUUAGCUGCUGAAGCAACUUGUCAAAUCUGCUA